AUGAGUGAAUUUGGCAUUUUUCUGACUAUUGCAUAUCCUUAUUUACUAAUUUUGAUUAAAAGGAUAAUUUUCUCAAAUUAUACUCUGUGCAGAUUUUCAGCUUCAGAAACAUUCUUCUUUAUGGAGACUUCUUCCCUUCUAAACUGGGAUAAGAAACCUUCACAGGGUUCUGCAGGUGUCAAGGAGAACAUUGCUGAAGACAGAAGAUUUGUAAAGCAGACCUGAAACCUCUGACUAGCCCAUUAUUUAAGCCAGGCCCUAAAAUGAACACAAAGAAAAUUAUGAUUCAGUGAUAAUUUUAUUACAGAAAUGUUUGAAAUAAAAUAAAUCAAUGAAGAUCUGAGGAAAAUGAA
Molecule: long non-coding RNA, 353 nt
Filed under: Anas platyrhynchos platyrhynchos (common mallard)
Lineage: Eukaryota; Metazoa; Chordata; Aves; Anseriformes; Anatidae
Description: lncRNA (ENSAPLG00000026675.1)
Source: RNAcentral